This 322-nucleotide ribosomal RNA is filed under the name Clostridioides difficile. RNAcentral describes it as "bacterial LSU rRNA". It matches the Rfam family "Bacterial large subunit ribosomal RNA", at positions 1839 to 2160 of the family's 2925-position model. The record is from RNAcentral. Lineage: Bacteria; Bacillati; Bacillota; Clostridia; Peptostreptococcales; Peptostreptococcaceae.
CGAUGUAUAGGAGCGGACGCCUGCCCGGUGCUGGAAGGUUAAGGGGAUCUGUUAGAGCAAUCGAAGCAGUGAACUUAAGCCCCAGUAAACGGCGGCCGUAACUAUAACGGUCCUAAGGUAUCGAAAUGCUUUGUCGGGUAAGUUCCGACCCGCACGAAAGGCGUAACGAUUUGGGCACUGUCGCAAAAUCAGACUCGGUGAAAUUGUAAUUCCGGUGAAGAUGCCGGAUACCUGCGACAGGACGGAAAGACCCCAGGGAGCUUUACUGUAGCUUGACAUUGGGUCUUGGUACUACAUGUACAGGAUAGGUGGGAGGCUUUGA